This 500-nucleotide ribosomal RNA is filed under the name uncultured bacterium. Its description in RNAcentral is "partial 16S ribosomal RNA". It matches the Rfam family "Bacterial small subunit ribosomal RNA", at positions 30 to 523 of the family's 1533-position model. The record is from RNAcentral.
AUUGAACGCUGGCGGAAUGCUUUACACAUGCAAGUCGAACGGCAGCACGGGGGCAACCUUGGUGGCGAGUGGCGAACGGGUGAGUAACACAUCGGAACAUGCCCAGUCGUGGGGGAUAACGUAGCGAAAGUUACGCUAAUACCGCAUACGAUCUAAGGAUGAAAGCGGGGGACCGUAAGGCCUCGCGCGAUUGGAGUGGCCGAUGCCAGAUUAGGUAGUUGGUGGGGUAAAGGCUCACCAAGCCAACGAUCUGUAGCUGGUCUGAGAGGACGACCAGCAACCCUGGGACUGAGACACGGCCCAGACUCCUACGGGAGGCAGCAGUGGGGAAUUUUGGACAAUGGGCGCAAGCCUGAUCCAGCCAUUCCGCGUGCAGGACGAAGGCCUUCGGGUUGUAAACUGCUUUUGUACGGAGCGAAAAGCCUUGGGUUAAUACCUCGGGGUCAUGACGGUACCGUAAGAAUAAGCACCGGCUAACUACGUGCCAGCCGCCGCGGUAA